RNAcentral lists this ribosomal RNA (499 nucleotides) under uncultured bacterium. RNAcentral describes it as "bacterial SSU rRNA". It matches the Rfam family "Bacterial small subunit ribosomal RNA", at positions 28 to 516 of the family's 1533-position model. The record is from RNAcentral.
GAUGAACGCUAGCUACAGGCUUAACACAUGCAAGUCGAGGGGCAGCAUGAACAAAGCUUGCUUUGUUUGAUGGCGACCGGCGCACGGGUGCGUAACACGUAUCCAAUCUGCCCGCGGCUCGGGGAUAGCCCAUCGAAAGAUGGAUUAAUACCCGAUGGUGUGGUUUCUCCGCAUGGGGUUUCCACUAAAGGUUUUCCGGCCGCGGAUGAGGAUGCGUAUGAUUAGGUAGUAGGCGGGGUAACGGCCCACCUAGCCUUCGAUCAUUAGGGGUUCUGAGAGGAAGGUCCCCCANACUGGAACUGAGACACGGUCCAGACUCCUACGGGAGGCAGCAGUGAGGAAUAUUGGUCAAUGGGGCGAGAGCCUGAACCAGCCAAGUAGCGUGAAGGAGACUGCCCUAUGGGUUGUAAACUUCUUUUGUUCGGGAAUAAAGUGCAGUAUGUAUACUGUUUUGUAUGUACCGUUCGAAUAAGCAUCGGCUAAUUCCGUGCCAGCAGCC